This 506-nucleotide ribosomal RNA is filed under the name uncultured bacterium. Its description in RNAcentral is "partial 16S ribosomal RNA". It matches the Rfam family "Bacterial small subunit ribosomal RNA", at positions 29 to 523 of the family's 1533-position model. The record is from RNAcentral.
AGUGAACGCUGGCGGUAGGCCUAACACAUGUAAGUCGAACGGCAGCACAGGAGAGCUUGCUCUCUGGGUGGCGAGUGGCGGACGGGUGAGGAAUACAUCGGAAUCUACUCUGUCGUGGGGGAUAACGUAGGGAAACUUACGCUAAUACCGCAUACGACCUACGGGUGAAAGCAGGGGAUAUUCGGACCUUGCGCGAUUGAAUGAGCCGAUGUCGGAGUAGCUAGUUGGCGGGGUAAAGGCCCACCAAGGCGACGAUCCGUAGCUGGUAUGAGAGGAUGAUCAGUCACACUGGAACUGAGGCACGGUCCAGACUCCUACGGGAGGCAGCAGUGGGGAAUAUUGGACAGUGGGCGCAAGCCUGAUCCAGCCAUACCGCGUGGGUGAAGAAGGCCUUCGGGUUGUAAAGCCCUUUUGUUGGGAAAGAAAUCCAGCUGGCUAAUACCCGGUUGGGAUGACGGUACCCAAAGAAUAAGCACCGGCUAACUUCGUGCCAGCCGCCGCGGUAA